This 3235-nucleotide ribosomal RNA is filed under the name Emiliania huxleyi CCMP1516. RNAcentral's name for it is "eukaryotic LSU rRNA". It matches the Rfam family "Eukaryotic large subunit ribosomal RNA". Lineage: Eukaryota; Haptophyta; Isochrysidales; Noelaerhabdaceae. The record is from RNAcentral. RNAcentral also lists the same sequence under 1 other name.
AACCCGCCAUCGAAUGAGGCAAGACUACCCGCUGAACUUAAGCAUAUCACUAAGCGGAGGAGAAGAAACUAACCAGGAUGCCCCUAGUAAUGGCGAAUGAAGCGGGCUGAGCUCACGCUGCCAAUCUGGAGGCCUCGCGUAUGCAGCGCCCCCCGAAUUGUGGUCUAGAGAGGCGUUAUCGGCCGCGCCCGCCGCUCAAGUCCCUUGGAACAGGGUGUCGGAGAGGGUGAGAAUCCCGUACCGUGGCGGGUUGCGGCCUUACGAUGCGUCCUCGUCGAGUCGGGUUGCUUGGGAUUGCAGCUUGAAUUGGGUGGUAAAUUCCAUCUAAAGCUAAAUACUGGCGAGAGACCGAUAGCGAACAAGUACCGUGAGGGAAAGAUGCAAAGAACUUUGAAAAGAGAGUCAAAGAGUGCUUGAAAUCGGUAGGAGGAAACCCGGAUGGGCCCGGCUUCGGCGCGCCGACUCAGCCUGGGGUUCUCCCCAGGUGCACUUCUGCGCGCCGGGUCAGCCGCGCCUCGGCGCCGCGCCUCAACCCGGGAGCGGGGCUUUACGGCCAGCUCCCGUCCUGGCGCGGCCCGGGGCCCGGCUGACGGAACGGGCCCCUCCGACCCGUCUAGAAACACGGACCAAGGAGUCUGACACGUGUGCGAGUACCCGGGUGGCAAGCCCGCGUGCGGAAUGAAAGUGAAGGGCAUGCCCUGCCAACCGACCUUGACCUGCUGUGAGGGGUUUGAGUGGAGCACACCUGUCGGGACCCGAAAGAUGGUGAACUAUGCCUGGGUAGGGUGAAGCCAGAGGAAACUCUGGUGGAGGCUCGUAGCGAUACUGACGUGCAAAUCGUUCGUCGAAUCUGGGUAUAGGGGCGAAAGACUAAUCGAACCAUCUAGUAGCUGGUUCCCUCCGAAGUUUCCCUCAGGAUAGCUUGAACGCAACGGUUUUGUCAGGUAAAGCGAAUGAUUAGAGGCCUGUGGGCUGAAACAGCUUGCACCUAUUCUCAAACUUUAAAUGGGCAAGAGGCCCGGGAUGCUUGAGUGAUCCCGGGCGGCGAACGGCGCGUUCAAAGUGGGCCAUUUUUGGUAAGCAGAACUGGCGAUGCGGGAUGAACCGAACGCCGCGCUAAGGUACCCAAGUGUCCGCUCAUCAGAUACCACAAAAGGCGUUGGUACCUCCAGACAGCAGGACGGUGGCCAUGGAAGUCGGAACCCGCUAAGGAGUGUGUAACAACUCACCUGCCGAAGGUACUAGCCCUGAAAAUGGAUGGCGCUCAAGCGGACCACCGAUGCGCGGCCGCCGGCGCGAGCGCGAGGCGCCGGCGAGUAGGAGGGCGCGGGGCUCGCGGCGCAGCCUUGGGCGCGAGCCUGGGUGAAGCGGGCCCCGGUGCAGAUCUUGGUGGUAGUAGCAAAUAUUCAAAUGAGAACUUUGAAGACUGAAGUGGAGAAAGGUUCCGUGUGAACAGCAGUUGGACACGGGUGAGCCGACCCUAAGAGACAGGAAAACUCCGCCGAACGCGGCUGGUUCUGUCAGCCCGUCCGUCGAAAGGGAAUCGGGUUAAUAUUCCCGAGCCAGCGCGUGGAUGGUGGGCGGCGACGCGAACGAACCCGGAGACGCCGGCGGGAGCCCUGGGAAGAGUUCUCUUUUCUUCUUAACUGCCUCCUGCCCUGGAAUCGGUUUAGCCGGAGCGAGGGCUACACGGCAGGCAAAGCACCCUAAGUCUUGGGGUGUCCGGCGCGCUCCCGACGGCCCGUGAAAAUCCGGGGGAGCGGUUCGUUCUCACGCCUGGUCGUACUCAUAACCGCAUCAGGUCUCCAAGGUGAACAGCCUCUAGUCGAUAGAGCAAUGUAGGUAAGGGAAGUCGGCAAAAUGGUUCCGCAACCUCGGGAGAAGGAAUGGCUCUGAAGGCUGGGCGCAGGGGUCCUAGGCUCGAGGCCGGCUGGCUGCGCGGGGACUACGGCCUCACGGCUGCGGAUCCCGCGCGGCCGUCCGGCGGACGGCCUAGGAGCGCUCCGGCUCUCCCUGCGCGACGAACAGCCGCUUCAGAACUGGCGCGGACAAGGGGAAUCCGACUGUUUAAUUAAAACAAAGCAUUGCGAUGGCCCGCGAGGGUGCUGACGCAAUGUGAUUUCUGCCCAGUGCUCUGAAUGUCAAAGUGAAGAAAUUCAACCAAGCGCGGGUAAACGGCGGGAGUAACUAUGACUCUCUUAAGGUAGCCAAAUGCCUCGUCAUCCAAUUAGUGACGCGCAUGAAUGGAUUCGUGAGAUUCCCACUGUCCCUAUCUACUGUCUAGCGAAACCACAGCCAAGGGAACGGGCUUGGAAGAAUCAGCGGGGAAAGAAGACCCUGUUGAGCUUGACUCUAGUCUGUUACUGUGGAACGACUUGAUGGGUGUAGAAUAUGCGGGAGGGGCAACCCGACAGUGAAAUACCGCAACCGUCAACGUUGUUUUACUUACUCGGUGGCGCGGAGGGAGGCUCGCCUCACUUCUGGAUCCAAGCCGCUUCGUGCGCGCGAUCCGCGUCGGGGACACUAACAGGUGGGGAGUUUGGCUGGGGCGGCACGUCUGUUAAAAAAUAACGCAGGCGCCCGAUUUUGAGCUCAAUGAGAACAGAAAUCUCAUGUGGACCGAAAGGGGAAAAGCUCGGUUGAUUUUGAUUUUCAGUACGAAUACAAACCGCGAAAGCGUGGCCUAUCGAUCCUCUCGUCUUUGGGAAUUUCAAGCUAGAGGUGUCAGAAAAGUUACCACAGGGAUAACUGGCUUGUGGCUGCCAAGCGUUCAUAGCGACGUAGCUUUUUGAUCCUUCGAUGUCGGCUCUUCCUAUCACUGCCUCGCAGCGGGGGCCAAAUGCAGGAUUGUUCACCCACCAACAGGGAACGUGAGCUGGGUUUAGACCGUCGUGAGACAGGUUAGUUUUACCCUACUGCUGUCUGUUUUUCUACGGUAAUUUGGUUCAGUACGAGAGGAACCACCAAUUCGCAUCAUCGGUAUAGCCGCCGCCGGAAACGGCGAUGCGGCGAAGCUGCCAUGCGCCGGAUUAUAACUGAACGCCUCUAAGUUAGAAUCCAUGCCGGAAGGAAAGCCACCUACCGGCCCGGGGACGCCACGAGCAACGGUAGCACUGCCUGAGCCGCGAGCGACCACAAUUCACGGACCCGGGCCGACGAAUCCCUUGCAGACGACUUGAAUAAGGAACGGGGUAUUGUACGCGGCAGAGUGGCCUUGUUGCCACGAUCCGCUGAG